RNAcentral lists this non-coding RNA (45 nucleotides) under Schistosoma bovis. RNAcentral also lists the same sequence under 1 other name. Lineage: Eukaryota; Metazoa; Platyhelminthes; Trematoda; Strigeidida; Schistosomatidae. The record is from RNAcentral.
AUCCAGAUGACGAGUCCGAAAUAGAACGAAACGCGCAUCCUGGAU